This 1364-nucleotide ribosomal RNA is filed under the name Klebsiella pneumoniae. RNAcentral's name for it is "partial 23S ribosomal RNA". It matches the Rfam family "Bacterial large subunit ribosomal RNA", at positions 407 to 1779 of the family's 2925-position model. The record is from RNAcentral. Lineage: Bacteria; Pseudomonadati; Pseudomonadota; Gammaproteobacteria; Enterobacterales; Enterobacteriaceae.
GAAGAGUAGGGCGGGACACGUGGUAUCCUGUCUGAAUAUGGGGGGACCAUCCUCCAAGGCUAAAUACUCCUGACUGACCGAUAGUGAACCAGUACCGUGAGGGAAAGGCGAAAAGAACCCCGGCGAGGGGAGUGAAAAAGAACCUGAAACCGUGUACGUACAAGCAGUGGGAGCACCUUCGGGUGUGACUGCGUACCUUUUGUAUAAUGGGUCAGCGACUUAUAUUCUGUAGCAAGGUUAACCGUAUAGGGGAGCCGCAGGGAAACCGAGUCUUAACUGGGCGUUAAGUUGCAGGGUAUAGACCCGAAACCCGGUGAUCUAGCCAUGGGCAGGUUGAAGGUUGGGUAACACUAACUGGAGGACCGAACCGACUAAUGUUGAAAAAUUAGCGGAUGACUUGUGGCUGGGGGUGAAAGGCCAAUCAAACCGGGAGAUAGCUGGUUCUCCCCGAAAGCUAUUUAGGUAGCGCCUCGUGAAUUCAUCUUCGGGGGUAGAGCACUGUUUCGGCUAGGGGGUCAUCCCGACUUACCAACCCGAUGCAAACUACGAAUACCGAAGAAUGUUAUCACGGGAGACACACGGCGGGUGCUAACGUCCGUCGUGAAGAGGGAAACAACCCAGACCGCCAGCUAAGGUCCCAAAGUCAUGGUUAAGUGGGAAACGAUGUGGGAAGGCACAGACAGCCAGGAUGUUGGCUUAGAAGCAGCCAUCAUUUAAAGAAAGCGUAAUAGCUCACUGGUCGAGUCGGCCUGCGCGGAAGAUGUAACGGGGCUAAACCAUGCACCGAAGCUGCGGCAGCGACACUAUGUGUUGUUGGGUAGGGGAGCGUUCUGUAAGCCUGCGAAGGUGACCUGUGAGGGUUGCUGGAGGUAUCAGAAGUGCGAAUGCUGACAUAAGUAACGAUAAAGCGGGUGAAAAGCCCGCUCGCCGGAAGACCAAGGGUUCCUGUCCAACGUUAAUCGGGGCAGGGUGAGUCGACCCCUAAGGCGAGGCCGAAAGGCGUAGUCGAUGGGAAACAGGUUAAUAUUCCUGUACUUGGUGUUACUGCGAAGGGGGGACGGAGAAGGCUAUGUUAGCCGGGCGACGGUUGUCCCGGUUUAAGCAUGUAGGCUGGUUAUCCAGGCAAAUCCGGAUAAUCAAGGCUGAGGUGUGAUGACGAGGCACUACGGUGCUGAAGUAACAAAUGCCCUGCUUCCAGGAAAAGCCUCUAAGCAUCAGGUAACAUCAAAUCGUACCCCAAACCGACACAGGUGGUCAGGUAGAGAAUACCAAGGCGCUUGAGAGAACUCGGGUGAAGGAACUAGGCAAAAUGGUGCCGUAACUUCGGGAGAAGGCACGCUGGUGUGUAGGUGAAGUCCCUGCGG